This 465-nucleotide ribosomal RNA is filed under the name uncultured bacterium. Its description in RNAcentral is "partial 16S ribosomal RNA". It matches the Rfam family "Bacterial small subunit ribosomal RNA", at positions 339 to 795 of the family's 1533-position model. The record is from RNAcentral.
CUACGGGUGGCAGCAGUGGGGAAUAUUGGACAAUGGGGGAAACCCUGAUCCAGCAAUGCCGCGUGUGUGAAGAAGGCCUGCGGGUUGUAAAGCACUUUCGGUUGGGAGGACUGCUUCUAGCACUAAUAUUGUUGGAAGUUGACGUUACCUUCAGAAGAAGCACCGGCUAACUCCGUGCCAGCAGCCGCGGUAAUAAGGAGGGUGCAAGCGUUAAUCGGAAUUACUGGGCGUAAAGGGCGCGUAGGCGGCUAGAUCAGUCGGGUGUGAAAGCCCCGGGCUUAACCUGGGAACUGCAUCCGAUACUGUCUAGCUUGAGUACAGUAGAGGAGAGUGGAAUUCCACAUGUAGCGGUGAAAUGCGUAGAUAUGUGGAGGAACACCAAUGGCGAAGGCAGCCCUCUGGCCUGAUACUGACGCUGAGGUGCGAAAGCGUGGGGAGCAAACAGGAUUAGAUACCCGAGUAGUC